AAUCUCAAUCCCCCCGGGUUUAUGAUCUGGGUUGGGACUUGGACUUGGGUGCUGCCGGUUACAUGGCUCGCCUCAAAUGACUUAGUGGAUCUCUCUGCAUCCGUGACAGACGUAAUAAGUUUCGUCUUGUCCCUUGCUGUCUGAGUCUGCUCCUAACCUGCCAUUGUGCACUUUUAGA
This 178-nucleotide unclassified non-coding RNA is filed under the name uncultured Cryptococcus. RNAcentral's name for it is "partial internal transcribed spacer 2". Lineage: Eukaryota; Fungi; Basidiomycota; Tremellomycetes. The record is from RNAcentral.